Molecule: ribosomal RNA, 1012 nt
Filed under: Mortierella sp. MEL 2385002
Lineage: Eukaryota; Fungi; Mortierellomycota; Mortierellomycetes; Mortierellales; Mortierellaceae
Description: LSU rRNA
Rfam family: Eukaryotic large subunit ribosomal RNA
Source: RNAcentral
GGAAAAGAAACUAACAAGGAUUCCCCUAGUAACGGCGAGUGAAGCGGGAUGAGCUCAAAUUUAAAAUCUGGCUGGUUUACUAGUCCGAAUUGUAGUUUAUAGAAGCGUUUUCGGUGGCAGCCUGGGUAUAAAUCCUUUGGAAUAGGGUAUCAUAGAGGGUGAGAAUCCCGUCUUUGACUCAGUGCAUGCUACUAUGUGAUACGUUUUCAAAGAGUCGAGUUGUUUGGGAAUGCAGCUCAAAAUGGGUGGUAAAUUUCAUCUAAAGCUAAAUAUUGGCGAGAGACCGAUAGCGAACAAGUACCGUGAGGGAAAGAUGAAAAGAACUUUGAAAAGAGAGUUAAACAGUGCGUGAAAUUGUUGAAAGGGAAACGUUUGACACCAGUUAUGCGGGUGGAAAAUCAGUCUUUUGCAGUGGGGAGUUGUGGGCGUUCAGACCGCAAGGCUGGCGUUUGCUUCAUCUUUGUUGUAAGUGAUGCACUUUUUCAUUUGCAGGUCAACAUCAGUUUGCUUUGCUGGACAAAACCCCAAGGGAAGGUGGCAGCUUAGGCUGUGUUAUAGCCCUGGGGCGAUACAGUGGAGUGGACUGAGGUUUCGCAGUGUGUGCUCUCGGGCAAGGCUGACUGGGUGCUAUGGGAUCGUUCGGCGUACAAUGCAUGCAUUUUGCGUCGUGUCUUUCUCAUACUCGCUCAACUCGGCUCUUCCACACUUAGGAUGUUGACUUAAUGGUUUUAAACGACCCGUCUUGAAACACGGACCAAGGAGUCUAACAUAUAUGCAAGUGUUUGGGUGGCAAACCCAUGCGCGUAAUGAAAGUGAACGUAGGUGCGAUCCGCAAGGUGCAGCAUCGACCGAUCUUGAUAUUUUUGGAUAGAUUUGAGUAAGAGCAUAUAUGCUGGGACCCGAAAGAUGGUGAACUAUGCCUGAAUAGGGUGAAGCCAGAGGAAACUCUGGUGGAGGCUCGUAGCGAUUCUGACGUGCAAAUCGAUCGUCAAAUUUGGGUAUAGGGGCGAAA